This 82-nucleotide transfer RNA is filed under the name Lachnospiraceae bacterium. RNAcentral's name for it is "tRNA-Leu". It matches the Rfam family "tRNA". Rfam says of the family: Transfer RNA (tRNA) molecules are approximately 80 nucleotides in length. Their secondary structure includes four short double-helical elements and three loops (D, anti-codon, and T loops). Further hydrogen bonds mediate the characteristic L-shaped molecular structure. tRNAs have two regions of fundamental functional importance: the anti-codon, which is responsible for specific mRNA codon recognition, and the 3' end, to which the tRNAs corresponding amino acid is attached (by aminoacyl-tRNA synthetases). tRNAs cope with the degeneracy of the genetic code in two manners: having more than one tRNA (with a specific anti-codon) for a particular amino acid; and 'wobble' base-pairing, i.e. permitting non-standard base-pairing at the 3rd anti-codon position. Lineage: Bacteria; Bacillati; Bacillota; Clostridia; Lachnospirales; Lachnospiraceae. The record is from RNAcentral.
GCGGCUAUGGCGGAAUUGGCAGACGUGUAAGAUUUAGGUUCUUAUGUCAUAUGGCGUGUGGGUUCAAGUCCCACUGGCCGCA